UACGGAGGAUCCGAGCGUUAUCCGGAUUUAUUGGGUUUAAAGGGUGCGCAGGCGGGAGAUUAAGUCGGUGGUGAAAUUUUGCAGCUUAACUGUAACAGGGCCAUUGAUACUGGUUUUCUUGAGUGUGGAUGAAGUAAGCGGAAUUUGUGGUGUAGCGGUGAAAUGCAUAGAUAUCACGAGGAACUCCGAUCGCGUAGGCAGCUUACUAAACCAUAACUGACGCUCAUGCACGAAGGCGUUGGGAUCAACCAGG
This 253-nucleotide ribosomal RNA is filed under the name uncultured Petrimonas sp. Its description in RNAcentral is "partial 16S ribosomal RNA". It matches the Rfam family "Bacterial small subunit ribosomal RNA", at positions 524 to 776 of the family's 1533-position model. Lineage: Bacteria; Pseudomonadati; Bacteroidota; Bacteroidia; Bacteroidales; Dysgonomonadaceae. The record is from RNAcentral.